AAAACCUCGUCUUGUGUGUUAUAGGAAUACACACGUUCCCUAGCGGAUGGCAAUACCGCCAAAGACGAGGAGAGAGU
Molecule: non-coding RNA, 77 nt
Submitted as: unclassified sequences
Source: Rfam